AUGAUUUUAUUUUAUUUUAUUUGUGAAAGACACUUACACAUGUAUACUAAAUUCCACAGCAUUAUACUUUCACAUGUGACGUACAAAAAAAACAAAUACACACUUUUAAAUGUGCCUUUUAUUUUUGUUGUUGGGCCGUUUUUUGUUUUUUGUACAGCCUACAAAUCACAAUAUGUUCAAAUGAAAUUUAACACGUUCUUGCAGAAUACAUAUAUGUUCCCAUGGAUUUUUUUUCUGACUUUUUUGAAACUUUUAAGUAUGUAUUUUGAUGUUUUCAAAAUACUGAGCUUUGGCCAAAGAAAAAGGUCGGGCUCGUUUGCAACCGAGGCAAAAAAAAGAGUCCGGCUCACUUGCAAGUUAUUGAUGAAAUUGCAACUUUGGCCAAAAAAAAAAGGUUAG
This 399-nucleotide ribosomal RNA is filed under the name Triticum aestivum (bread wheat). RNAcentral describes it as "partial small subunit ribosomal RNA". Lineage: Eukaryota; Viridiplantae; Streptophyta; Magnoliopsida; Poales; Poaceae. The record is from RNAcentral.